This is a long non-coding RNA of Anguilla rostrata (American eel), 656 nucleotides long. RefSeq lists it as uncharacterized. NCBI's taxonomy places the organism in Eukaryota, Metazoa, Chordata, Actinopteri, Anguilliformes, Anguillidae. The transcript has 4 exons. The record is from RefSeq and is a predicted model, not a curated record.
GUCUGUGUUAGUGUACCCUCUGGCUCACUAAAUACAUGUGUGUGUGUGUGUGUGCACGUGUUAGUGUAUCCCCUUGGCUCACUGAAUACAUGUGUGUGUGUGUCUUGUACCCCCCUUGGCUCACUGAAUACGUGUGUGUGUGUGUGUGUGUUAGUGUACCCCCUUGGCGCGCUGUGAAUACGUGUGUGUGUGUGUGUUAGUGUACCCCCUUGGCUAACGGUGACUAUGUGAUUGUGUGUGUGCAUGUGUGUGUUAGUGUGCCCCCUUGGCUAAGGUGAAUAUGUGUGUGUGCGCAUGUUGGUGUGCCUCCUUGGCUUGCUGUGUAUACGUGUGUGUGUGUGCCCCCUUGGCUAAGGUGAAUAUGUGAUUGUGUGUGUGCGUUGGUGUGCCUCCUUGGCUUGCUGUGUAUACGUGUGCGUGUGUGUGUGUUGGUGUGCCUCCUUGGCUUGUUUGAUAUGUGGUGUGUGCGCAUGUUGGUGUGCCUCCUUGGCUUGUUGUGUAUACGUGUGUGUGUGUGCCCCCUUGGCUAAGGUGACUAUGUGAUUGUGUGUGCGUUGGUGUUCCCUGCAUACAGCUACCGUUCAUCGAUGGCUCUUGCUAGCGUGAGCGGCUGGUAAGGUACGCGGCUUAAUGAACAGCAGCAGAUCCUUCAUAGC